GUGGGGAAUAUUGGACAAUGGGCGAAAGCCUGAUCCAGCAAUGCCGCGUGAGUGAUGAAGGCCUUAGGGUUGUAAAGCUCUUUUACCCGGGAUGAUAAUGACAGUACCGGGAGAAUAAGCUCCGGCUAACUCCGUGCCAGCAGCCGCGGUAAUACGGAGGGAGCUAGCGUUGUUCGGAAUUACUGGGCGUAAAGCGCACGUAGGCGGCUUUGUAAGUUAGAGGUGAAAGCAUGGAGCUUAACUCCAGAACUGCCUUUAAGACUGCAUCGCUUGAAUCCAGGAGAGGUGAGUGGAAUUCCGAGUGUAGAGGUGAAAUUCGUAGAUAUUCGGAAGAACACCAGUGGCGAAGGCGGCUCACUGGACUGGUAUUGACGCUGAGGUGCGAAAGCGUGGGGAGCAAACAGGAUUAGAAACCCUAGUAGUCC
RNAcentral lists this ribosomal RNA (425 nucleotides) under uncultured bacterium. Its description in RNAcentral is "partial 16S ribosomal RNA". It matches the Rfam family "Bacterial small subunit ribosomal RNA", at positions 354 to 796 of the family's 1533-position model. The record is from RNAcentral.